UUAAGUCUGAUCUGCUCACUGAUUAAUUUUAAAGAGCCGCAGUAUUUUGACUGUGCAAAGGUAGCAUAAUCAAUAGUUUUUUAAUUGAAGGCUGGGAUGAAAGAUUGGAUGAUAAAUUUACUUUCUUAAUUUUAAAUGUUGAAUUUAAAAUUUAAGUUAAAAUUCUUAGAUUUAAUUGAAAGACGAGAAGACCCUAUAGAUUUUUAUUACUAAAUUGAUUUGUUAAAUUUAUUUUUUUUUGUAAUUUAAUUGGGGUGAUUUUGUAAUAUAUUUAACUUAAUUUUAAUAAACCAUAAAUGAUUGAAUUUUUUGUUCUAAAAUUUUUAAAUUAAAGAUUAAAUUACCUUAGGGAUAACAGCGUUAUAUUAUUUAAGAGUUCAUAUCUAUAAUAAUGUUUGCGACCUCGAUGUUGAAUUAAGAAAUAUAAUGGAGUAGAAAUUAUUAUUAAUUAGUCUGUUCGACUAUUAAAUUCUUAC
This 476-nucleotide ribosomal RNA is filed under the name Dasydemella sp. KY380. RNAcentral describes it as "partial 16S rRNA". The stretch from base 351 to 476 matches the Rfam family "Bacterial large subunit ribosomal RNA", at positions 2473 to 2599 of the family's 2925-position model. Lineage: Eukaryota; Metazoa; Arthropoda; Insecta; Psocodea; Amphipsocidae. The record is from RNAcentral.